Long non-coding RNA from Bos taurus (domestic cattle), 1551 nucleotides. The record is from Ensembl. Lineage: Eukaryota; Metazoa; Chordata; Mammalia; Artiodactyla; Bovidae.
UCACUAUUAAGCACUCCAUGGACCGAGGGGAUCUUGAAGAACAUCCAACCUUUCUGCAUCAGUCACCUGGGAAGCUACAUAAAAAUGCAGAUCCCGGGGCCCAGGGCCUUUGCCUCAGUGGGCCAGGCCUCAGGGCCUGCAUCUGCCCCAGAUUCAGAGUGCCAGGCGGUCUGUGGAAAAGGCUGGGCUAUUCCAGCCUCCCACUCUACUUGCAUUUCAGAGCUCCCGUGGCCCCAACGUGCGCCGGCUCCAGGGGUCACCUUGCCAGGUGAGGCCCCAAUUGAGUCUGACAUUGUCUUCACCUGAGAGCACCCUGGCGGCCACUUUGGUUUUGAUCACAGGCAGCCCGGCACAGGGCAGCCGCGGCCUAUUCACCUGAACUGCCAGCCUGCGGCCCAGAUGCUAACAACACAGAGUAUGAGAGAGUGUCCUAUCCAGCUAAGAACAGGGUCUCGCCAGGACCCUGGGCCUGAACAGAUUUAUGUAAGAAGAAAGGCAACGUAGAUUUGGCAGAGCCAGUCUCCCUAACGGCAAUGUUGCAGGCAACUUUGAAGGUAGGCGGAAACUGUCCAUGAGGGGAUGGGAACCUAGUCUCCCCCUAGCGCGGAGGCCAGCCUGGCGUGGGUGAUCACACAGCUGCUAGUUUGGAAGAAUUUGUUCAAAGCAAGGAACUUCUGCCCACAGUCAUCCCUUCCAUCUCUCCACUUCUACCCUUGGGCCUAAGACUUCACUGCCUCAGCUGUUGAGGAGUAGACUUCUCUUGACAUCAUUAAUGUGCCCAAGAUGCCCUGUUUGCACAUAUUUGUGUGCCUUCCAAUUAAAAUGAUUCAUUAAACCUCUGGUGGAGUUCAUUUUUAUUCUGCAAUAAGAACACUCAAAUAAAUACAUUCAGCCAUGGAAAGAAUCCUUUGAGCAAGCCCAUGUCCUAAUUUUGGUUUGGGGAAUCUAGUCCUGAAGUUGUCAUCUGGGAAUGUGCUGAAGAGACUGGAGGCCAGUUUUGCAAGGGAGCUGAGCAGGCCGACCUGACUCUGGCUACUUGGAGUGGGGCUGAGCAGCUUGGCUCUGUCCGGCCCUGGGGACAGCAUGGCAGCUCCUGAGGACUCCGCAGGCCCUGCAGCCCUGUGGCCCAGAAGCAGGGGCUCCCUCUCUCCUUUGGGAGAUCGUUGUGGAAUGUAGUUAACAUCAGCCUCAGCAAACACCACACUCCGCAUACCGUGAUGCUGCCUGGGGACAACCCGCAGCUAUAGUUUCCAUCCUGAGUGACUGGGAAGUAGCAUGUGUCACUCCCAACCGUGGGUCUCCACAGAGGAGGCCAAGUGGCUACUGGAUGCACCUGGAUGGGGCUCACGCCCAGUCUGUUCCGGGCUCUGUGACCUGAUGAUUUGGGGGUCCUUGAUGCCCCUCUGAGUUGCAGUUGUUUUCCAGUGGAAGACAUCUCUCAGAAACCUACCAUGCUACCCAAUUUGUAUUUCUAAGUCUUGCCAGCAAUCCCACUCAUUCCUGUUUUACAGACAAGGAGAUUGUUGCUCAGAGAGAUUCAUUGACUUGACC